GAUGAAGAACGCAGCGAAAUGCGAUAAGUAAUGUGAAUUGCAGAAUUCAGUGAAUCAUCGAGUCUUUGAACGCACAUUGCGCCCCCUGGUAUUCCGGGGGGCAUGCCUGUCCGAGCGUCAUUGCUGCCCUCAAGCACGGCUUGUGUGUUGGGCCCCGCCCCCCGGCUCCCGGGGGGCGGGCCCGAAAGGCAGCGGCGGCACCGCGUCCGGUCCUCGAGCGUAUGGGGCUUCGUCACCCGCUCCGUAGGCCCGGCCGGCGCCCGCCGGCGACCCCCCUCAAUCUUUUCAGGUUGACCUCGGAUCAGGUAGGGAUACCCGCUGAACUUAAGCAUAUCAAUAAGCGGAGG
This 347-nucleotide unclassified non-coding RNA is filed under the name soil metagenome. RNAcentral's name for it is "partial contains 5.8S ribosomal RNA, internal transcribed spacer 2, and large subunit ribosomal RNA". The stretch from base 1 to 120 matches the Rfam family "5.8S ribosomal RNA", at positions 35 to 154 of the family's 154-position model. The record is from RNAcentral.